RNAcentral lists this ribosomal RNA (250 nucleotides) under uncultured bacterium. RNAcentral describes it as "partial 16S ribosomal RNA". It matches the Rfam family "Bacterial small subunit ribosomal RNA", at positions 524 to 774 of the family's 1533-position model. The record is from RNAcentral.
UACGUAGGUGGCAAGCGUUAUCCGGAUUUACUGGGCGUAAAGGGUGAGUAGGCGGUUGCAUAUGUCAGAUGUAAAAGGCACAGGCUUAACUUGUGUUAGCAUUUGAAACUGUGCGACUUGAGUGCAGGAGAGGUAAGUGGAAUUCCUAGUGUAGCGGUGAAAUCCGUAGAUAUCUGGAGGAACACCAGUGGCGAAGGCGGCCACCUGGACGACAACUGACGCUGAGGAGCGAAAGCGUGGGUAGCAAACA